UGGCGGCAGGCCUAACACAUGCAAGUCGAGCGGUAACAGAAAGAAAGCUUGCUUUCUUUGCUGACGAGCGGCGGACGGGUGAGUAAUGCCUGGGAAUAUGCCUUAGUGUGGGGGAUAACUAUUGGAAACGAUAGCUAAUACCGCAUAACGUCUUCGGACCAAAGAGGGGGACCUUCGGGCCUCUCGCGCUAAGAUUAGCCCAGGUGGGAUUAGCUAGUUGGUGAGGUAAAGGCUCACCAAGGCAACGAUCCCUAGCUGGUCUGAGAGGAUGAUCAGCCACACUGGAACUGAGACACGGUCCAGACUCCUACGGGAGGCAGCAGUGGGGAAUAUUGCACAAUGGGGGAAACCCCUGAUGCAGCCAUGCCGCGUGUAUGAAGAAGGCCUUCAGGUUGUAAAGUACUUUCAGUCGUGAGGAAGGCAUUGUAGUUAAUAGCUGCAGUGCUUGACGUUAGCGACAGAAGAAGCACCGGCUAACUCCGUG
Molecule: ribosomal RNA, 484 nt
Filed under: uncultured bacterium
Lineage: Bacteria
Description: bacterial SSU rRNA
Rfam family: Bacterial small subunit ribosomal RNA
Source: RNAcentral